GUCUUUUUGAUUUGUAUGGCCCCACAAAAAAGUGGUAUGGGCAUUAUUGUUUUACCCAUGUCUGUCAUUCCAUCAUUGGCUAGCAUCAAAGUUUUUAACAUGUAAUAUUCCCUUUAGGCCAAAAAAAAAUAUAUGUCUGUUUCCUGCUUCCAAGGCAAAUAAAUCAGGGGUCGGUAGGUCGGUUUUUUUUUUUUUUUUUUUUUUUUUUUUUUUUUUAUUUUUGCACUCCCUGUCAGAUUUGCAGUCGGUUAAAUGUCAUAUUUGGUUAGGGUCCUGUACCCCAAAAUGAUUUAAUCCCUUUAAAGAAGCUUUAAUUUAAUAAUCCUCCCAGUGCUGACAUUUAUUAAACCUUAAUUGUAGCACAUUUGUGCUGG
Molecule: long non-coding RNA, 374 nt
Filed under: Mytilus galloprovincialis (Mediterranean mussel)
Lineage: Eukaryota; Metazoa; Mollusca; Bivalvia; Mytilida; Mytilidae
Source: RNAcentral